ACUAAGGUGGCAGAGCCCGGCAAUUGCAAAAGACCUAAGCCCUUUCUACCGGGGGUUCAUCCCCCCCUUAGUU
RNAcentral lists this transfer RNA (73 nucleotides) under Kronichthys heylandi. RNAcentral describes it as "tRNA-Leu". The record is from RNAcentral. Lineage: Eukaryota; Metazoa; Chordata; Actinopteri; Siluriformes; Loricariidae.